RNAcentral lists this small RNA (704 nucleotides) under Pan troglodytes (chimpanzee). RNAcentral describes it as "retained intron". The record is from RNAcentral. Lineage: Eukaryota; Metazoa; Chordata; Mammalia; Primates; Hominidae.
CUCAGAGACCCUUUCCUAGGGAGCCCCUUUUCCCUCCUACCUCAGGUGCGGACGAAGCCCUGGCCAGGCUCCUUCUGUCUCUCAUGCAGCUCCCUUCUGUCUCUCAUGCGGCUCCCUUCUGUCUCUCAUGCGGCUCCCUUCUGUCUCUCAUGCGGCUCCCUCCUGUCUCUCAUGCGGCUCCCUCGUGUCUCUCAUGCGGCUCCCUUCUGUCUCUGGAGAGCGGCUGGGACGGGACUGGGAGCAGAUGAGAGGCUAAGGUCCCUAUGAGGCCGCAGCUCUUGGGCACCUGGCCGUGCCCUCACUGGACGCUGCCUGCUGUGUCGAGGGGCCACGUGCCCAGGGCUCCUGCCUUGUGUCCCCCUCAGGUGCUGAUACCUGUGUUCGCGCUGGGCCGCGCCCAGGAGCUCUGCAUCCUCCUGGAGACCUUCUGGGAGCGCAUGAACCUGAAGGUGCCCAUCUACUUCUCCACGGGGCUGACCGAGAAGGCCAACCACUACUACAAGCUGUUCAUCCCCUGGACCAACCAGAAGAUCCGCAAGACUUUCGUGCAGAGGAACAUGUUUGAGUUCAAGCACAUCAAGGCCUUCGACCGGGCUUUUGCUGACAACCCAGGACCGAUGGUUGUGUUUGCCACGCCAGGAAUGCUGCACGCUGGGCAGUCCCUGCAGAUCUUCCGGAAAUGGGCCGGAAACGAAAAGAACAUG